AUGCUUCGAAGUACGGUAAUGGAAUAUUUAGAAAUCUUUUGUCACGAAUUGCGCCAUGCUCGUGACCCUUAUUUACACUUCGGAUAGUGUAUUGAAUACACGAACAAAACGCCGCUGUUUGGAUAUAACUAUGGAUUAUUUUGAACCAAACCAACAUUUUUUAUUGAAGUAGCAGUCCUGGGAGUGCAUUCUGACGAAGAACAUCAAAGUACACCAGCAGUAUGAGAGAAGUUUGGACUGGAUCUCCAUGCGAAAAACAACACACAGUUGAGACCCCCCCCCCCCAAAUUGGCUUAUACUACCCUAUCGUCUUGGCAAUCUCACUGUGGCGUUACAGGUCAGGGAGUCAGAGGGCUAAUCCAGCAGACCCAAUCAG
RNAcentral lists this long non-coding RNA (376 nucleotides) under Salmo salar (Atlantic salmon). RNAcentral describes it as "lncRNA (ENSSSAG00000101920.1)". Lineage: Eukaryota; Metazoa; Chordata; Actinopteri; Salmoniformes; Salmonidae. The record is from RNAcentral.